RNAcentral lists this ribosomal RNA (253 nucleotides) under uncultured bacterium. RNAcentral's name for it is "partial 16S ribosomal RNA". It matches the Rfam family "Bacterial small subunit ribosomal RNA", at positions 524 to 776 of the family's 1533-position model. The record is from RNAcentral.
UACGGAGGGUGCAAGCGUUGCUCGGAAUUACUGGGCGUAAAGCGAACGCAGGCGGUUUAUUAAGUCGGGCGUGAAAGCCCCGGGCUCAACCUGGGAAUUGCACCCGAUACUGGUAAACUUGAGUCUGAGAGAGGGAAGCGGAAUUCCUGGUGUAGAGGUGAAAUUCGUUGAUAUCAGGAGGAACACCGGCGGCGAAGGCGGCAUCCUGGACCAACACUGACACUGAGGAGCGAAAGCCAGGGGAGCAAACGGG